RNAcentral lists this ribosomal RNA (406 nucleotides) under uncultured bacterium. Its description in RNAcentral is "partial 16S ribosomal RNA". It matches the Rfam family "Bacterial small subunit ribosomal RNA", at positions 30 to 526 of the family's 1533-position model. The record is from RNAcentral.
AUUGAACGCUGGCGGCAGGCCUAACACAUGCAAGUCGAACGAGUGGCGGACGGGUGAGUAAUGUCUGGGAAUCUGCCUGAUGGAGGGGGAUAACUACUGGAAACGGUAGCUAAUACCGCAUACCAUCGGAUGAGCCCAUAUGGGAUUAGCUUGUUGGUGGGGUAACGGCUCACCAAGGCGAAGAUCCCUAGCUGGUCUGAGAGGAUGAUCAUCCACACUGGAACUGAGACACGGUCCAGACUCCUACGGGAGGCAGCAGUGGGGAAUAUUGCACAAUGGGCGCAAGCCUGAUGCAGCCAUGCCGCGUGUAUGAAGAAGGCCUUCGGGUUGUAAAGUACUUUCAGCGGGGAGGCGUUACCCGCAGAAGAAGCACCGGCUAACUCCGUGCCAGCCGCCGCGGUAAUUC